GGGCCAAAAGUGUUAAGUUGGAAACUUGGUUUUUAUAAAACAAAAAUCAAAAACCCAUACACACACUUAUGUGUGUGUGUCUGGUCGAACUAAACACAGGGUUCCCCCACAAACCCUAGUUCCUGCAAUUUUCACCAAAUUGGGAGCUCUAAUCUGUUCCAAAUCGAUUCUCAAGCACAAAUUCGUGAUCACCUCGUUGAAACGAUCAGAAGGCAAAGAAUCUGGAUCGUCGAGUGGACAAGCCGGAGGGGAUACACGCUUGAAAGGGGUGCUCUAAAGGUAAUGCUCAUUUCAUUUCGGAUGCCGAUCAAGCAAGAAAUCAAGAACCGAACACAAGUUUUGAAGCUUCCACACUAAUCUAAUCAUGUUUAGACAAUGUUGUUUUGUAAACACUACUAAAUGUCGAAUGUUUUAAACUAGCUAGUUGGUUAUGUUAAAACACUAUAACGAUGUACAUCUUAGUUUAUUAACUAAGUUUUUGUUAAUUAUGCAUUUUUUUAAAAGUGCGUAUUUUAUAAUAAAAUAACAAAUAAAUAAGACGAGUGUUACAUAUCAUUAUAAAAUAAACUGGCGUUUGCAUCCUGUCAAACCAAGAAUGCUCAUAUAGAAGUGUUAAAUCGUAUUCCAUGAUAAUAGGUUCAGUUUUCUAAUUUAGAGUAAAAUGUCAUUUUCAUCCUUGAGGUUUGGCCAGUUUUGCGACUUUCAUCCAAAAGUUUGUUUUUUCCACAUCUGGAUCCAAAAGGUUUGAA
This is a long non-coding RNA of Helianthus annuus (common sunflower), 749 nucleotides long. RefSeq lists it as uncharacterized. The transcript has 3 exons. Lineage: Eukaryota; Viridiplantae; Streptophyta; Magnoliopsida; Asterales; Asteraceae. The record is from RefSeq and is a predicted model, not a curated record.